UACGGGAGGCAGCAGUGGGGAAUAUUGGACAAUGGGCGGAAGCCUGAUCCAGCCAUGCCGCGUGUGUGAAGAAGGCCUUUUGGUUGUAAAGCACUUUAAGCGAGGAGGAGGCUAACUAGUACUAAUACUACUGGAUAGUGGACGUUACUCGCAGAAUAAGCACCGGCUAACUCUGUGCCAGCAGCCGCGGUAAUACAGAGGGUGCGAGCGUUAAUCGGAUUUACUGGGCGUAAAAGCGUGCGUAGGCGGCUGAUUAAGUCGGAUGUGAAAUCCCUGAGCUUAACUUAGGAAUUGCAUUCGAUACUGGUCAGCUAGAGUAUGGGAGAGGAUGGUAGAAUUCCAGGUGUAGCGGUGAAAUGCGUAGAGAUCUGGAGGAAUACCGAUGGGCGAAGGCAGCCAUCUGGGCCCUAAAUACUGACGCUGAGGGUACGAAAGCAUGGGGAAGCAAACAGGGAUUAGAUAACC
This 465-nucleotide ribosomal RNA is filed under the name uncultured bacterium. RNAcentral's name for it is "bacterial SSU rRNA". It matches the Rfam family "Bacterial small subunit ribosomal RNA", at positions 340 to 787 of the family's 1533-position model. The record is from RNAcentral.